GUACUUGUUUCUCCAGUGUAUGCACUGAAAUUGGAAUGUAUAUGGAGAAUAUUAGCACAGCCCCUGUUUAAGGAGCAGAAGCAAAUUCAUGAAGCAUUAAAUGUCUUU
Small nuclear RNA from Protopterus annectens (West African lungfish), 108 nucleotides. NCBI's taxonomy places the organism in Eukaryota, Metazoa, Chordata, Ceratodontiformes, Protopteridae. The record is from RefSeq and is a predicted model, not a curated record.